Molecule: long non-coding RNA, 590 nt
Filed under: Androctonus crassicauda
Lineage: Eukaryota; Metazoa; Arthropoda; Arachnida; Scorpiones; Buthidae
Source: RNAcentral
ACUUUAUACGGUUGGUUAUAUAAAAAAUCUUUAUUUGGAGUACUUUCAGUUAGUUUAAUAAUCAUCUUCAACGAAAAAAUGCGAGAUUAGAAUCAAGCAUGUCUGAAUUACAGACACACGCUAUAAGUUCUAAACAUUUAAAAUUUAACUAGGGGUAAAAUAAUGUAGACGUGUUUUAUAAAUAACGACAUUAAGUCAAUCUCAUUAACACUUUAAAUAAAAUUAAGAAUUAAAAUAAAAGUAGCUUAAGAUGAACACAGUAAUCGAGAACAGAAUGCUUGUGUAUUUUAUUUCUAUAUCCUAUAUUAAUUUAUUUAAUUCUUCAACAUCAGUUAUCUAUAUAAACCUACAAAUUGGCAGUAUUGAUCCAAGCAGGCAUUUUGAACUGAAGGUGAAAUUCUGUUAUUCCCUAAUAUAUAACAAUAUAAACUAUCUAGCAAGUAGUUUACUUCCCUCUUAGAUAUUUAGGUAGCUUUUCACUAUUAUAAAUCCAUUAUUAAACACUUCUAAACUAACUGUUCACUUCAAAGAUCGUCCAAAAAUGUUCAGGUAUGAAAAGUUUAAUUUAAAAUUGUUUAAUUUAUCUAUCG